This 522-nucleotide ribosomal RNA is filed under the name Marinobacter sp. RNAcentral's name for it is "bacterial SSU rRNA". It matches the Rfam family "Bacterial small subunit ribosomal RNA", at positions 93 to 611 of the family's 1533-position model. The record is from RNAcentral. Lineage: Bacteria; Pseudomonadati; Pseudomonadota; Gammaproteobacteria; Pseudomonadales; Marinobacteraceae.
GAGGGGCGGAUGGGUGAGUAAUGCUUAGGAAUCUGCCCAGUAGUGGGGGACAACAGUCGGAAACGGCUGCUAAUACCGCAUACGCCCUACGGGGGAAAGCAGGGGAUCUUCGGACCUUGCGCUAUUGGAUGAGCCUAAGUCGGAUUAGCUAGUUGGUGAGGUAAAGGCUCACCAAGGCCACGAUCCGUAGCUGGUUUGAGAGGAUGAUCAGCCACAUCGGGACUGAGACACGGCCCGAACUCCUACGGGAGGCAGCAGUGGGGAAUAUUGGACAAUGGGGGCAACCCUGAUCCAGCCAUGCCGCGUGUGUGAAGAAGGCUUUCGGGUUGUAAAGCACUUUCAGCGAGGAGGAAGGCUCUAAAGCUAAUACCUUUAGGGAUUGACGUUACUCGCAGAAGAAGCACCGGCUAACUCCGUGCCAGCAGCCGCGGUAAUACGGAGGGUGCAAGCGUUAAUCGGAAUUACUGGGCGUAAAGCGCGCGUAGGUGGUUGAGUAAGCGAGAUGUGAAAGCCCCGGGCUUA